AUCUUCUUUUUUCUUUUAUUAUAUCCUCCGUUUUGUUUAUUAUAUCCUUUAAAUAAUAUGAACGUGUUGAGACUGUUCGAGAAUUAAAAAAUAUUAUUACUUUUUUACUCCUUUUCUUUUUCUUUCUUUAUUUUUCUUUUCUCUCUCUCUCUCUCUCUCUCUCUCUCUUUUUUUUUUUUUUGCAACCACUAGCUAACUGUGAUGUUCGUAAAUAUCACGCUCGGUGCUCGCUAAAGAGCUCACAGUUUCCGCUAAGUCUUUGCCAGGAGCUUGCUUCAUUCUCGCUUCAUGAUGAAAGUGUGUCGUUGAACGAUUUAUCUCUCUCUCUCUCUCUCUCUCUCUUUCUCUCUCUCUUUCUAUCUAUCUCUGUCUCUCUUUUUCUCUCUGUAUUUUUGGUUUCCGUAGUAGUAAUAAAUGAGAAUGAAGAAAUACGUGAUGGAAAGAAGAAAAGAAAAGAAAAUUAAUAGAAAUGAUAAUAAAAGUUUGGAUUAGAUUGAACAUUUAUCUUAGUUAAAGUAUACACUUCUUCCGAAAGUUUAUUACCUGGUUUGAGUUAGUCUGAGAUGAACACAAAUUUUGGUGUCUUUCUGUCUCUCUUUCUUUCUCUCUUUUCGUUUCCAUUUUUGUAAUGAACAGAGAAAGAAAAAAUACGUGCAAAAAGAAAGAAAAAGUAUUAAUGACUGAAAAUAAUAAUAAAAGUGUAACUUAAUCCGAUGGAAUCACGAUUGAACUCGUUUAUCUUUUUUCAUGUAUACACUCCUUCUCCAAAAGUUUAUUACUCUGGCCUGGGAAUCGUUGAGAUGAACACAAAUUUUAGAAGGAGCUACUUCGUUAUAUUACUUCUGCAUUUAAAGAAACUGAAAUGAAAAAAACUCCAAACGUUCAGUGGAAAUUAUUCUCAAGUGGUGACGAUAAACACACCAGAGAGUUGACGAGUUUAAAUCUCUUAAGAGAGAAUUUAUUUCAUUGUGUCACAAUAAUCUACCAAUGUAAUGUCCACGUUCACGACAGUGUGUAAACGGAAAAAAAAAAAACAAAAAGAAAA
Long non-coding RNA from Vespula vulgaris, 1045 nucleotides. RefSeq lists it as uncharacterized. Lineage: Eukaryota; Metazoa; Arthropoda; Insecta; Hymenoptera; Vespidae. The transcript has 2 exons. The record is from RefSeq and is a predicted model, not a curated record.